AAUAGAUACUCUGGUAGUCCACGCCGUAAACGAUGGAUACUAGCUGUUGGAGGUAUCGACCCCUUCAGUAGCGAAGCUAACGCGUUAAGUAUCCCGCCUGUGGAGUACGGUCGCAAGACUAAAACAUAAAGGAAUUGACGGGGAUCAGCACAAGCGGUGGAUUAUGUUCUUUAAUUCGAUGAUAACCGAUGAACCUUACCAGGGUUUGACAUCCAGGAAAGCACUACGAAAGUAGAGUGUGCCUUUUGGAAUCCUGUGACAGGUGUUGCAUGGCCGUCGUCAGCUCGUGUCGUGAGAUGUUUGGUUAAGUCCAUCAACGAGCGCAACCCUUGCAAGUAGUUGUAUUUUUCUACUUGGACUGCUCUAGUAAUAGGGAGGAAGGAGGGGAUGAUGUCAGGUCAGUAUUACCCUUACACCCUGGGCUAGAAACAUAAUACAAUGGCCGGUACAAUGCGCAGCGAAGCAGUGAUGUGGAGCAAAUCGCAUCAAAAGCCGGUCCCAGUUCGGAUAAGAGGCUGAAACUCGCCUU
This 529-nucleotide ribosomal RNA is filed under the name uncultured bacterium. RNAcentral describes it as "bacterial SSU rRNA". It matches the Rfam family "Bacterial small subunit ribosomal RNA", at positions 777 to 1318 of the family's 1533-position model. The record is from RNAcentral.